This 73-nucleotide transfer RNA is filed under the name Anatilimnocola aggregata. RNAcentral describes it as "Planctomycetes bacterium ETA_A8 tRNA-Ala". Lineage: Bacteria; Pseudomonadati; Planctomycetota; Planctomycetia; Pirellulales; Pirellulaceae. The record is from RNAcentral.
GGGCUUCCAUGCCGUUGGCGGCGACUGAUCCUUGCAAGAUCGGUGUGAUGGGUUCGACUCCCAUGAGGUCCAC